UACGAAGGGGGCUAGCGUUGCUCGGAAUCACUGGGCGUAAAGGGCGCGUAGGCGGACUUUUAAGUCGGAGGUGAAAGCCCAGGGCUCAACCCUGGAAUUGCCUUCGAUACUGGGAGUCUUGAGUUCGGAAGAGGUUGGUGGAACUGCGAGUGUAGAGGUGAAAUUCGUAGAUAUUCGCAAGAACACCGGUGGCGAAGGCGGCCAACUGGUCCGAAACUGACGCUGAGGCGCGAAAGCGUGGGGAGCAAAC
Molecule: ribosomal RNA, 250 nt
Filed under: uncultured bacterium
Lineage: Bacteria
Description: partial 16S ribosomal RNA
Rfam family: Bacterial small subunit ribosomal RNA
Source: RNAcentral